Molecule: ribosomal RNA, 497 nt
Filed under: uncultured bacterium
Lineage: Bacteria
Description: partial 16S ribosomal RNA
Rfam family: Bacterial small subunit ribosomal RNA
Source: RNAcentral
GAUGAACGCUGGCGGCGUGCCUAAUACAUGCAAGUCGAGCGAACAGACGAGGAGCUUGCUCCUCUGACGUUAGCGGCGGACGGGUGAGUAACACGUGGAUAACCUACCUAUAAGACUGGGAUAACUUCGGGAAACCGGAGCUAAUACCGGAUAAUAUAUUGAACCGCAUGGUUCAAUAGUGAAAGACGGUUUUGCUGUCACUUAUAGAUGGAUCCGCGCCGCAUUAGCUAGUUGGUAAGGUAACGGCUUACCAAGGCAACGAUGCGUAGCCGACCUGAGAGGGUGAUCGGCCACACUGGAACUGAGACACGGUCCAGACUCCUACGGGAGGCAGCAGUAGGGAAUCUUCCGCAAUGGGCGAAAGCCUGACGGAGCAACACCGCGUGAGUGAUGAAGGUCUUCGGAUCGUAAAACUCUGUUAUUAGGAAAGAACAAAUGUGUAAGUAACUAUGCACGUCUUGACGGUACCUAAUCAGAAAGCCACGGCUAACUACGUG